GGAAGUAAAAGUCGUAAACAAGGUCUCCGUUGGUGAACCAGCGGAGGGAUCAUUACAGAGUUGCAAAACUCCCAAACCAUUGUGAACGUUACCUAUCCCGUUGCUUCGGCGGGCGGCCCGGGCCCCGCGCCCGGCGCCCCCCGGCCCCCCGUGGGCGCCCGCCGGAGGUAAACCAAACCCUUGAAUUGCAUGGCCUCUCUGAGUCUUCUGUACUGAAUAAGUCAAAACUUUCAACAACGGAUCUCUUGGUUCUG
This 254-nucleotide unclassified non-coding RNA is filed under the name plant metagenome. RNAcentral describes it as "partial contains small subunit ribosomal RNA, internal transcribed spacer 1, and 5.8S ribosomal RNA". The stretch from base 1 to 55 matches the Rfam family "Eukaryotic small subunit ribosomal RNA", at positions 1778 to 1831 of the family's 1831-position model. The record is from RNAcentral.